CUACGGGAGGCAGCAGCAAGGAAUUUUCGGCAAUGGGCGCAAGCCUGACCCAGCAACGCCGCGUGGAGGAAGACGGCCUUCGGGUUGUAAACUCCUUUUACGGGGGAAGAGGAAGGACGGUACCCCGAGAAUAAGUCACGGCUAACUACGUGCCAGCAGCCGCGGUAAUACGUAGGUGACAAGCGUUAUCCGGAAUUACUGGGCGUAAAGCGCACGCAGGCGGCGCGUUAAGUCUGACGUGAAAUCUCCCGGCUUAACUGGGAGGGGUCGUUGGAGACUGGCGUGCUUGAGGCGGUGAGAGGGGUGUAGAAUUCCCGGUGUAGUGGUGGAAUGCGUAGAUAUCGGGAGGAAUACCAGUGGCGAAAGCGGCACCCUGGCACUAGCCUGACGCUCAUGUGCGAAGGCGUGGGGAGCGAACGGGAUUAGAUACCCCAGUAGUCC
RNAcentral lists this ribosomal RNA (441 nucleotides) under uncultured bacterium. Its description in RNAcentral is "bacterial SSU rRNA". It matches the Rfam family "Bacterial small subunit ribosomal RNA", at positions 339 to 796 of the family's 1533-position model. The record is from RNAcentral.